AUUGAACGCUGGCGGCAGGCCUAACACAUGCAAGUCGAGCGGAUGAAGGGAGCUUGCUCCUGGAUUCAGCGGCGGACGGGUGAGUAAUGCCUAGGAAUCUGCCUGGUAGUGGGGGAUAACGUCCGGAAACGGGCGCUAAUACCGCAUACGUCCUGAGGGAGAAAGUGGGGGAUCUUCGGACCUCACGCUAUCAGAUGAGCCUAGGUCGGAUUAGCUAGUUGGUGGGGUAAAGGCCUACCAAGGCGACGAUCCGUAACUGGUCUGAGAGGAUGAUCAGCCACCCUGGAACGGAGACACGGUCCAUACUCCUACGGGAGGCAGCAGUGGGGAAUAUUGGGCAAUGGGCGAAAGCCUGAUCCAGCCAUGCCGCGUGUGUGAAGAAGGUCUUCGGAUUGUAAAGCACUUUAAGUUGGGAGGAAGGGCAGUAAGUUAAUACCUUGCUGUUUUGACGUUACCAACAGAAUAAGCACCGGCUAACUUCGUG
This 484-nucleotide ribosomal RNA is filed under the name uncultured bacterium. Its description in RNAcentral is "partial 16S ribosomal RNA". It matches the Rfam family "Bacterial small subunit ribosomal RNA", at positions 30 to 507 of the family's 1533-position model. The record is from RNAcentral.